GAUGAACGCUGACAGAAUGCUUAACACAUGCAAGUCAACUUGAACUUCGGUUUGGGUGGCGGACGGGUGAGUAACGCGUAAAGAACUUGCCUCACAGAUAGGGACAACAUUUGGAAACGAAUGCUAAUACCUGAUAUUAUGAUUAUAUGGCAUCGUAUAAUUAUGAAAGCUAUAUGCGCUGUGAGAGAGCUUUGCGUCCCAUUAGCUAGUUGGAGAGGUAACAGCUCACCAAGGCGAUGAUGGGUAGCCGGCCUGAGAGGGUGAUCGGCCACAAGGGGACUGAGACACGGCCCUUACUCCUACGGGAGGCAGCAGUGGGGAAUAUUGGACAAUGGACCAAGAGUCUGAUCCAGCAAUUCUGUGUGCACGAUGAAGUUUUUCGGAAUGUAAAGUGCUUUCAGUUGGGAAGAAAAAAAUGACGGUACCAACAGAAGAAGUGACGGCUAAAUACGUG
RNAcentral lists this ribosomal RNA (454 nucleotides) under uncultured bacterium. RNAcentral's name for it is "partial 16S ribosomal RNA". It matches the Rfam family "Bacterial small subunit ribosomal RNA", at positions 28 to 507 of the family's 1533-position model. The record is from RNAcentral.